UACGUAGGAGGCAAGCGUUGUCCGGAAUCACUGGGCGUAAAGGGCGCGUAGGCGGCUCGGUAAGUAGGGGGUGAAAUCCUGCGGCUUAACCGCAGGGCUGCCUUCUAAACUGUCGAGCUUGAGCACGGUAGAGGCAGAUGGAAUUCCCGGUGUAGCGGUGGAAUGCGUAGAGAUCGGGAAGAACAUCAGUGGCGAAGGCGGUCUGCUGGGCCGUUGCUGACGCUGAGGCGCGACAGCGGUGGGGAGCAAACAGG
This 254-nucleotide ribosomal RNA is filed under the name uncultured bacterium. Its description in RNAcentral is "partial 16S ribosomal RNA". It matches the Rfam family "Bacterial small subunit ribosomal RNA", at positions 524 to 776 of the family's 1533-position model. The record is from RNAcentral.